Molecule: ribosomal RNA, 697 nt
Filed under: uncultured bacterium
Lineage: Bacteria
Description: bacterial SSU rRNA
Rfam family: Bacterial small subunit ribosomal RNA
Source: RNAcentral
GUCGAACGAGAAAGUGGAGCAAUCCAUGAGUACAGUGGCGACCGGGUGAGUAACACGUGACUAACCUACCCUCGAGUGGGGGAUAACUCCGGGAAACCGGAGCUAAUACCGCAUAACAUCGCAAGAUCAAAGCAGCAAUGCGCUUGAGGAGGGAGUCGCGGCUGAUUAGCUAGUUGGUAGGGUAAUGGCCUACCAAGGCUGAGAUCGGUAUCCGGCCUGAGAGGGCGCACGGACACACUGGAACUGAAACACGGUCCAGACUCCUACGGGAGGCAGCAGUGGGGAAUUUUGCGCAAUGGGGGAAACCCUGACGCAGCAACGCCGCGUGGAGGAUGAAGUCCCUUGGGAUGUAAACUCCUUUCGACCGGGAAGAUACUGACGGUACCGGAAGAAGAAGCACCGGCUAACUCUGUGCCAGCAGCCGCGGUAAUACAGAGGGUGCGAGCGUUGUUCGGAAUUAUUGGGCGUAAAGGGCGCGUAGGCUGUGCGGUAAGUCACCUGUGAAAUCUCCAGGCUCAACUUGGAGUCUGCUGCCGAAACUGCGGUGCUGGAGUACUGGAGAAGUGAGUGGAAUUCCCGGUGUAGCGAUGAAAUGCGUACACCUCGGGAGGAGCACCUGUGCCAAAAGCGGCUGAGUGAACCGUGACUGACACUCAUCCCCGAGAGCUAGGGGAGCCGACUGGAUUAGAUACCCUGG